CAGGAUAUACUUGAUUCAACAGUGUCCCCUCAAGAAGCUUUCCUUUCACUGACAUUUGACCAAGUCCUUCCUGCUUUCCAGAUGCGGAGAGAUAAAGAAGGCUAGAAGUUACAGGAUCCCAAGAAUUGGAAAGGACUCAGAGCAUCAUUCAGACUGACUCCCUCCAAAACUCAACAAUAUCACUUCCAUCCUGUUGGAAAAUAGAAGCCAUGGUUAAGCUGAGGUAUACACAUUAAAGACAGCCAUUGAGCAUGUGCAGAUGACAGCCUCAGUGAAUUGUUGUUCAAGAAACAAAUCAGGUGAGGACAUCCCCAUCCUCUUUCUGGUGUGUAUAGGGAUGUCAGAAAAAGACUUGAAGCAGCGGGAAACAACCUCUUUGCAUUCAAACCACUAAAAUGGUAUUGUGACAGCAUCUCUGGUUCUGCGUGUUAGCAGGAAUUUCUCACUUCCUGCAAUUCCAUAGCCUCCUCCAGGUGUAAGGAGAAACCCUUGUUUGUGCUCUCAAUUCCUUCCUUUGAAGUUGAAUCAUCUGAGGUCAUGCAACUCGGGAGAUCAACAGGUGGGCAACUCUGUCCACUUGUCAGAAGUGUUCCACAAAGGUGGAGAAGUUCUGGAUCCAGCCCACCAUCCGAAUCCAGUUCUCCACCCUUGCCCUAAAGGGGCAAGGAUGCAGUUGGGGAGAACUCCUGGACUCUGUGCUCCC
This is a long non-coding RNA of Lacerta agilis (Sand lizard), 703 nucleotides long. RefSeq lists it as uncharacterized. The record is from RefSeq and is a predicted model, not a curated record. Lineage: Eukaryota; Metazoa; Chordata; Lepidosauria; Squamata; Lacertidae. The transcript is spliced from 3 exons.